Molecule: ribosomal RNA, 253 nt
Filed under: uncultured prokaryote
Description: partial 16S ribosomal RNA
Rfam family: Bacterial small subunit ribosomal RNA
Source: RNAcentral
ACGUAGGGUGCAAGCGUUAAUCGGAAUUACUGGGCGUAAAGCGUGCGCAGGCGGUUUCGUAAGUCUGUCGUGAAAUCCCCGGGCUUAACCUGGGAAUUGCGCUUGAAACUAGCGGGCUUGAGUGUGGCAGAGGGGGGUGGAAUUCCACGUGUAGCAGUGAAAUGCGCAGAGAUGUGGAGGAACACCGAUGGCGAAGGCAGCCCCCUGGGUCAACACUGACGCUCAUGCACGAAAGCGUGGGGAGCAAACAGGA